UAAUACAUGCAGUCGAACGCACGAAGUUGAAGAGCUUGCUCUUUAACCGAGUGAGUGGCGGACGGGUGAGUAACACGUGGUAACCUGCCCAUUAGAGGGGGAUAACAUUCGGAAACGGAUGCUAAUACCGCAUAGUUUCAGGAAUCGCAUGAUUCUUGAAGGAAAGGUGGCUUCGGCUACCACUAAUGGAUGGACCCGCGGCGUAUUAGCUAGUUGGUGAGGUAAUGGCUCACCAAGGCAAUGAUACGUAGCCGACCUGAGAGGGUGAUCGGCCACACUGGGACUGAGACACGGCCCAGACUCCUACGGGAGGCAGCAGUAGGGAAUCUUCCGCAAUGGACGAAAGUCUGACGGAGCAACGCCGCGUGAGUGAAGAAGGUUUUCGGAUCGUAAAACUCUGUUGUUAAAGAAGAACAAGGAUGAGAGUAACUGCUCAUCCCCUGACGGUAUUUAACCAGAAAGCCACGGCUAACUACGUGCCAGCAGCCGCGGUAAU
RNAcentral lists this ribosomal RNA (496 nucleotides) under uncultured bacterium. RNAcentral's name for it is "bacterial SSU rRNA". It matches the Rfam family "Bacterial small subunit ribosomal RNA", at positions 49 to 524 of the family's 1533-position model. The record is from RNAcentral.